GGUGUUGUAGCUCAGAGGUAGAACACUUGUCUAGCAUGCAAGAGGCACUGGGUUCAAUCCUCAGCACCA
RNAcentral lists this transfer RNA (69 nucleotides) under Ictidomys tridecemlineatus (thirteen-lined ground squirrel). RNAcentral describes it as "Spermophilus tridecemlineatus (thirteen-lined ground squirrel) tRNA". It matches the Rfam family "tRNA". From Rfam's summary of the family: Transfer RNA (tRNA) molecules are approximately 80 nucleotides in length. Their secondary structure includes four short double-helical elements and three loops (D, anti-codon, and T loops). Lineage: Eukaryota; Metazoa; Chordata; Mammalia; Rodentia; Sciuridae. The record is from Rfam by way of RNAcentral.